CUCUAAUUUCUGAUCUUUGUCUAAGGUCAAGUUGAACAUCUGUUCUUAUCAGGUAAAUAUCUUUUACAUCCUUGACUUGAAGAUGUCAUAUUAAUCAGAUUUUUUGGGACCAAAGGAUGGGUUAGAGCUUUUUCUAUCUAUCUUGUGCAUCUGCCUGUUAUUGCAGUGUCUCCAGAAGCAGCACACCAA
RNAcentral lists this small nuclear RNA (189 nucleotides) under Pterocles gutturalis (yellow-throated sandgrouse). Its description in RNAcentral is "U2 spliceosomal RNA". It matches the Rfam family "U2 spliceosomal RNA". From Rfam's summary of the family: U2 is a small nuclear RNA (snRNA) component of the spliceosome (involved in pre-mRNA splicing). The record is from Rfam by way of RNAcentral. Lineage: Eukaryota; Metazoa; Chordata; Aves; Pterocliformes; Pteroclidae.